RNAcentral lists this ribosomal RNA (909 nucleotides) under Diplodia malorum. RNAcentral describes it as "LSU rRNA". It matches the Rfam family "Eukaryotic large subunit ribosomal RNA", at positions 36 to 963 of the family's 3401-position model. Lineage: Eukaryota; Fungi; Ascomycota; Dothideomycetes; Botryosphaeriales; Botryosphaeriaceae. The record is from RNAcentral.
UAGCAUAUCAAUAAGCGGAGGAAAAGAAACCAACAGGGAUUGCCUUAGUAACGGCGAGUGAAGCGGCAACAGCUCAAAUUUGAAAGCUGGCCCUUUUAGGGUCCGCGUUGUAAUUUGUAGAGGAUGAUUCGGCGAGGGCUCCCGCCUAAGUCCCCUGGAACGGGGCGUCAUAGAGGGUGAGAAUCCCGUAUGCGGUGGGCUGCCUUAGCCAUGUGAAUCUCCUUCGACGAGUCGAGUUGUUUGGGAAUGCAGCUCUAAAUGGGAGGUAAAUUUCUUCUAAAGCUAAAUACCGGCCAGAGACCGAUAGCGCACAAGUAGAGUGAUCGAAAGAUGAAAAGCACUUUGGAAAGAGAGUUAAAAAGUACGUGAAAUUGUUGAAAGGGAAGCGCUUGCAACCAGACUUGUCCGCAGUUGCUCAGCCGGUCUCCUGACCGGCGUACUCUUCUGCGGCCAGGCCAGCAUCAGUUCGGGCGGUCGGAUAAAGACCUCGGGAAUGUAGCUCCUCUCGGGGAGUGUUAUAGCCCGGGGUGGAAUGCGGCCAGCCUGGACUGAGGAUCUCGCUUCGGCAAGGAUGCUGGCGUAAUGGUUGUAAGCGGCCCGUCUUGAAACACGGACCAAGGAGUCUAACAUCUAUGCGAGUGUUUGGGUGUCAAACCCAUACGCGUAAUGAAAGUGAACGGAGGUGGGAACCCGCAAGGGCGCACCAUCGGCCGAUCCUGAUGUCUUCGGAUGGAUUUGAGCAAGAGCAUAGCUGUUGGGACCCGAAAGAUGGUGAACUAUGCCUGAAUAGGGUGAAGCCAGAGGAAACUCUGGUGGAGGCUCGCAGCGGUUCUGACGUGCAAAUCGAUCGUCAAAUUUGGGUAUAGGGGCGAAAGACUAAUCGAACCAUCUAGUAGCUGGUUCCUGCGA